UAAUAAGUGUUUUAUGGCACUUUUUUAAAUCCAUAUCCACCUUGUGUGCAAUGUCAGUCGAUCUUCUUCAUGGAGAUCGACCAAACAUCAACCUUUAUUUUUAACUCUUUGUCUGAAAAAUAUUAUAUAAACAAUUCAAAAUA
This 143-nucleotide unclassified non-coding RNA is filed under the name soil metagenome. RNAcentral's name for it is "partial internal transcribed spacer 1". The record is from RNAcentral.